RNAcentral lists this ribosomal RNA (500 nucleotides) under uncultured bacterium. RNAcentral's name for it is "bacterial SSU rRNA". It matches the Rfam family "Bacterial small subunit ribosomal RNA", at positions 30 to 525 of the family's 1533-position model. The record is from RNAcentral.
AUUGAACGCUGGCGGAAUGCUUUACACAUGCAAGUCGAACGGCAGCACGGGGCAACCUGGUGGCGAGUGGCGAACGGGUGAGUAAUACAUCGGAACGUGCCCAAUCGUGGGGGAUAACGUAGCGAAAGUUACGCUAAUACCGCAUACGAUCUACGGAUGAAAGCGGGGGAUCGCAAGACCUCGCGCGAAUGGAGCGGCCGAUGUCAGAUUAGGUAGUUGGUGGGGUAAAGGCUCACCAAGCCAACGAUCUGUAGCUGGUCUGAGAGGACGACCAGCCACACUGGAACUGAGACACGGUCCAGACUCCUACGGGAGGCAGCAGUGGGGAAUUUUGGACAAUGGGCGCAAGCCUGAUCCAGCCAUUCCGCGUGCAGGAUGAAGGCCUUCGGGUUGUAAACUGCUUUUGUACGGAACGAAACGGUCUGCCCUAAUACGGUGGGCUAAUGACGGUACCGUAAGAAUAAGCACCGGCUAACUACGUGCCAGCAGCCGCGGUAAGC